Chiloscyllium plagiosum (whitespotted bambooshark) is the source of this 4082-nucleotide long non-coding RNA. RefSeq lists it as uncharacterized. The record is from RefSeq and is a predicted model, not a curated record. NCBI's taxonomy places the organism in Eukaryota, Metazoa, Chordata, Chondrichthyes, Orectolobiformes, Hemiscylliidae.
GGACACUAGCGGUGAGUCCCCUAAAGAUGAAUGGGAGCCUCUUCACCCGAUCUCCAUUAAACCUCGCUGUUGAAAACACUUGGAAAAAUGGUGGAAUUUGUAUGUUCGCGAGAGAUAAAUGUUGGUGUGUCAACAAUCACUUAUUCGCUGGAACAGAAUAUCUGAAGAGCAAAGCCAAGAUUUGGAUGUGAUUUUAUAACAGGGCGACCUGUGCCCGUUGAUUGGUUCAAUGUUGAAUAUGUAUCAGUCAUCUGGGGGGGAUACACAAAGGGGUUUCUGAUGGAUGUGAUUUCUGGGAUGAUACCUUUACUGGAUACAUACGUUGGAAAGUUGUAUUCUUGUGGAGAAGACCACACACAGCUGAGAAUCUCCCAACAUGUUCGAUUUCUGAAUUGCAUCAGCAGGAGACACCUUUCAUCAUGUAGACCUCGGAUGGCUACAGCGUCAGAGGGAGAUGACCCAAACAGCAAGCUUCUACAUUUAGGAAGUGGACACGAGCAGUGGGACAUGAACUGCUCAAACAGCCUCGUCAGUUCCCCCGAAGAGGAAAGGGAACCUCUUCACCUAAUCUCCAUUAAACCUCGAUUCUGCAAUCACUUGGAAACUGAUGGAUGUCGUUCUUCACGGGAGAUAAAUACUGGUGUGUCAGCAAUCAUUUAUUUGCUGGAACAGGAUAUCCGAAGAGCAAAGCCAAGAUUGGGAUGUGGUUUUGUAACAGGGCGACCUGUGCCUAUUGAUUGGUUCAAUGUUGAAUAUGUAUCAGUCAUCUGGGGGGAUACACAAAGGGGUUUCUGAUGGAUGUGAUUUCUGGGAUGAUACCUUUACUGGAUACAUACGUUGGAAAGUUGUAUUCUUGUGGAGAAGACCACAACACAGCUGAGAAUCUCCCAACACGUUCGAUCUCCGAAAGCAUCAGCAGGAGACACCUUUCAUCAUGUAGACCUCGGGUGGAUACAGUGCUGGUACUGCAGAGCAAGGAGGUUCAAUCAACACACUUCAAGAUCACAAAGGAUUCUGUUUCUCCUUGAUAUGUAAAGGCACCUUCUGGUCAUAAAGCAGUAAGGUAGUAAGUGGUAAGAAGUGGGAUUUUGUGAGAGUCAGGAUGCGGUGUUUGAGACAGUCCUGACACUGAGCAUCAAAUCCAACACAGUUUGGAAAUUAAAUUAGUUCACCCUCUGGUAACAUUGCUCUCCCUUUAUUCUUGCUCGUUGAUGUGCAAUGAUAUAAAAUUAUUCUUAAUGGGUCACACUACCAUCUAAUCAGCUGAUGGUGUUUUUAAUAUAUCAUUAUUCCGUGUGGUUCAGGGACUAUAUUUAGAUUCACCAGGAUGACAUUGUGCCUCACAUAACCAGUUGGUCUCGACAAAACAGUGACAUUUUUCUCUGCCCUGCUCCCCUGCUGAUGUUGUUGUAACUAAGACACGGACCUUCUCAGGCAGCUGGCCCUGUUCUUGUCCCCUCCUGAAGUCCACACAUGAGCACUGUCCAGUGGGUAGUAAACCGUUAUGGGAAUCCUGUCCACUGCCACCAAGUCCAAUGAUCAGAUUGCUGCCCCUUGGCCUGGCUGAUAUCAGAUCAACCCAGUCUGAACUGGAAAUGCUGAAAUUGUGUUUUUUCUCUUUCUGUAGGGAAAUGGAUACCAGCAGUGGGACAUGAACUGCUCAAACAGCAUCAUCAGUUCCCCCAAAGAGGAAAGGGAACCUCUUCACCCGAUCUCCGUUAAAUCUCGAUUCUGCAAUCAUUUGAAAAAUGGUGAGGAUUACUUCUGACAAAAAGUCACAGACCUGAAAUAUAAACUCUGUUUCUAUCUCUCCACAGAUGCUGCCUGGCCUGUGAAAUGCUUCUAGCAAGUUCUCUCUUCAUGAAACAUCUUUUCUUUGUUCAUGGGAAAUAAAUACUGGUGUGUCAACAAUCAUUUGUUUGCUGGAACAGGAUAUCCGAAGAGCAAAGCCAAGAUUGGGAUGUGGUUUUGUAACAGGGUGAUCUGUACCCAUUGAUUGGUUCAAUGUUGAAUAUGUAUCAGUCAUCUGGGGGGAUACACAAAGGGGUUUCUGAUGGAUGUGAUUUCUGGGAUGAUACCUUUACUGGAUACAUACGUUGGAAAGUUGUAUUCUUGUGGAGAAGACCAUGCACAGCUGAGAAUCUCCCAACACGUUCAAUCUCCGAAUUGUAACAAGCAUCAGCAGGAGACACCUUUCAUCAUGUAGACCUCGGAUGGAUACAGUGUCAGAGGGAGAUGACCCAAACAGCAAGCUUCUACAUUGAGGGAGAUGGAUACCAGCAGUGGGACAUGAACUGCUCAAACAGCCUCAUCAGUUCCCCCAAAGUGGAAAGGGAACCUCUUCACCUGAUCUCCAUUAAACCUCGAUUCUGCAAUCACUUGGAAAACUGGUGAGGAUUACUUCUGACAGAACGUCACAGACCUGAAAUAUAAACUCUGUUUUUCUCUCUCUCCGCAGAUGCUGCCUGGCCUGUGGAAUGAUUCCAGUACAUUCUCUCUUCAUGAAACGUCAUUUCUUUGUCAUGAAUGUGUCGACGGUCAGUUACUUGCUGGAACAGGAUAUCCGAAGAGCAAAGCCAAGAUUGGGAUGUGGUUUUGUAACAGGGCGACCUGUGCCUGUUGAUUGGUUCAAUGUUGAAUAUGUAUCAGUCAUCUGGGGGGAUACACAAAGGGGUUUCUGAUGGAUGUGAUUUCUGGGAUGAUACCUUUACUGGAUACAUACGUUGGAAAGUUGUAUUCUUGUGGAGAAGACCACAACACAGCUGAGAAUCUCCCAACACGUUCGAUCUCUGAAUUGUAACAAGCAUCAGCAGGAGACACCUUUCAUCAUGUAGACCUCGGGUGGAUACAGUGCUGGUACCGUAGAGCAAGGAGGUUCAAUCAACACACUUCAAGAUCACAAAGGAUUCUGUUUCUCCUUGAUAUGUAAAAGCACCUUUGGUCAUAAAGCAGAAAGGUGGACACAGAGUGGUGUAUGGUGCAGAAUGACCACACGGGCUGUACAUGGAGCACUGGAGGUAUACAAUCAUACAAGACACUGGAGCGGAGCAUUGCCUAAGCACUGCUGGGCCUGAAUGAUCGAAGGCAAUGGUAUUGAGUACGCAGCCCACUCAUUGUCCAUCUCUGACUCACCAGCUCGCACUGUGAACCUCCCUUGCUUGCCUCCUUCCCCUCACCAACCCUCUCUCAAGCUCUCUCUUUGGCUUCAGGAAAGGAAGGGAUAAGUGAGACGGAGAUCAGAGGGCAGCAGUGAGCACGAGAGCGAGGCAGUGAGUGAGAGGGUCUGAGCAGAGAUGGAUGUGACUGAACCUUGUGCAGGCUAAGAAGUCUUGGCUCUGGGCUAGACAGGUGGCAAGGACCCUAUAUUGCCUCUAUUUGAAAAGGCUCACCACACUUUAUGCUCUUCAGGCACCCAACAGGCCAGCCCCACCAGUAACAGAAUGAGACUUAUGACUGAGUCACUGUGUGAGAGUCAGCGUGCAGGACUCAGUCACAAGCAUAAGAGAUUCAGCGAGCAGGAGAAGAGCGCUGAGUGAAAGUGAGCCAGACAGAGGCAUCAAGAGGGGGCAAGUGUUAAGUUGUUGGAGCUGGGUGGUGUUAAGUUGUUGGAGCUGCCCCCAUCCAGGCAAGUGGGGAAUAUUCCAUCACACUCCUGACUUGUGCCUUGUGAAUGGUGGACAGGCUUUGUGGAGUCAGGAGGGAAGUUACUCACCACAGUAUUCCCAACCUCUGACCCUGCUCUUGCAGCUACAGUUAUUGAUUAAUGGUGAUGCACAUUAAGGGGUGAGAUAUGGUGAACAGGGAGGGGCUGGCAAAUAGGGAAUGGGCGGGAUGAGGGGAAUGCUGUGACUAGAGAGAGUGCAUUGAGCAGGGAACAGGAGAGAUGGUGAGCGAGGAGAGGAUGUGAGAUGCUGGGUGGGUAGAGAGGGGAUGGUGAGUGUGGAGGCCUCAGGGGGUGGAAAGCAAGUGGGAUGUGUUAGUAAGUGGGUAACACUUAGUUAGUUAUGAAAUAGAUUGGGAAUUAUAAUUGGUGUACUGUGGACAGUUUCUAAUGUUUCCAUCUUUUAUGUUUUUUUUGUACC